This 232-nucleotide ribosomal RNA is filed under the name uncultured bacterium. RNAcentral describes it as "partial 16S ribosomal RNA". It matches the Rfam family "Bacterial small subunit ribosomal RNA", at positions 104 to 334 of the family's 1533-position model. The record is from RNAcentral.
CGGGGUGAGUGACGCGUGGAUAACCUGCCUCACACUGGGGGAUAACAGUUAGAAAUGGCUGCUAAUACCGCAUAAGCGCACAGUACCGCAUGGUACGGUGUGAAAAACCCAGGUGGUGUGAGAUGGAUCCGCGUCUGAUUAGCCAGUUGGCGGGGUAACGGCCCACCAAAGCGACGAUCAGUAGCCGACCUGAGAGGGUGACCGGCCACAUUGGGACUGAGACACGGCCCAA